AGGCUCAAGAAAGGAUAUUUACUAUAGCCAAGAUGGAGAAGCUCUUCACAUAUAGAAUAUUUACAUGAUGGCAAAAGGAAGACUGUCAGGAGCAAUUGUAGGAGAAUAUGGGGCAAGUCUAUUCACACCAGAAGCAAAAGUAAUAAAACCCUUAGACCACUGGAGA
Molecule: long non-coding RNA, 166 nt
Filed under: Rhinopithecus bieti (black snub-nosed monkey)
Lineage: Eukaryota; Metazoa; Chordata; Mammalia; Primates; Cercopithecidae
Description: lncRNA (ENSRBIG00000045285.1)
Source: RNAcentral